RNAcentral lists this RNase P RNA (300 nucleotides) under Peptoniphilus harei. Its description in RNAcentral is "Bacterial RNase P class A". It matches the Rfam family "Bacterial RNase P class A", at positions 37 to 362 of the family's 367-position model. Rfam says of the family: Ribonuclease P (RNase P) is a ubiquitous endoribonuclease, found in archaea, bacteria and eukarya as well as chloroplasts and mitochondria. Its best characterised activity is the generation of mature 5'-ends of tRNAs by cleaving the 5'-leader elements of precursor-tRNAs. Lineage: Bacteria; Bacillati; Bacillota; Tissierellia; Tissierellales; Peptoniphilaceae. The record is from RNAcentral.
AUAUGUGAGGAAAGUCCGCGCUCCACAGAGCAAGGAUGCUGGCUAACGGCCAGUGGGGGUGACCCCAAGGCUAGUGCAACAGAAAUAUACCGCCCAUCUGGGUAAGGUUGGAAAGGCGAGGUAAGAGCUCACCAGGUCAUUAGUGAUAAUGAUGCUAUGUAAACCCCAUUCGGAGCAAAACCAAAUAGGAAUAACAGAUGCUGCUCGCAUCUGCCGGUAGGUAGGUUGCUAGAGAUUAUAGGCAACUAUAAUCCAAGAUUGAUAGUUGACAAAACAGAACGCGGCUUAUAGAUUUGCUUA